This 1547-nucleotide long non-coding RNA is filed under the name Daucus carota (carrot). RNAcentral describes it as "long non-coding RNA (DCAR_LNC002018)". Lineage: Eukaryota; Viridiplantae; Streptophyta; Magnoliopsida; Apiales; Apiaceae. The record is from RNAcentral.
UCUAUUCUCUAUCAUUUCCGGUGAUCUCUUCGAAUCCGCACAGUCGGAGCUGUUUCGAAGAUCCUGAGCUUCUAGAACUAUCUAGAAUUUAUCUUCAAGCUCUCGCUUUUAAGUAGCUUUAUUUUGACGCUAUACUCAGCUGAGGAUCCAUAAUUAAUUGAGGUUGAUUUUACUUAAUAUUCUCUGUUUUAGUUAUAUUAUUGGAUAUUGCGCUUUAGUAGAAUCUCUUAGUUUAAGUUAAUUGCAUCUUUAAGUUCAUUAAAUGCGUAGAUCUGUCAAUAUGCUGAUUGUUAAGCUUAAUUAUAUGUAUUAGCAGUGAUUUGAAUUUUAAUUACUUCUUAGUAUAGUUUGGUGUCGAUGUGUCGGAGUUGAGAAUUUCAUGUUAUAUUAUGAUUAUUUAUGGUUUUUAUGAAGUGAUUGAUCUAUUUAACUUUUAAUUGUGAUAUAGAAGCUUAAUUUUAGGGAAUAUUAAUUGAAAAAGAGUUAGUUAUCCGAGACAAGUAACAUGAUUGUUUUGUUUUGUGAUUAACUAAGGAAACAAGAUUUUCUGGAAACUGAGGUUUUGUUUAUAAUUUAUUACUAGUUUGGGACUCUAAGCAGGUUGUUGUUUUUUAAUUCGAAAUUUGUGUUGUACUCGUAGUACAUGACUGUUUAUUUCCUUUUGAGAUAGUUUGUGGAAUUAGAGGAUAACGAAGGGGAUGUCGGUGUGAUUCGGUGAUGAAUAAUAGAUUAAAUGAGAUUCCCAAACUACACACUGAUGUCCAAUAUAAUAAUAGUAAUAGAAAUUAGAAGGGCUCGAUGUUAAAACUGAUUUGUAGCUAAAAGUAUAUCAAAUCAAUUUGAGGUCUUGAGCUUUGUUGAGCAUGCGUAAUGUGUUUCAUUUGUCUGAGUGAGAUGAGGAUUUUAUUACUUUCCCUUUACCACUGCAAUGUUGGCCUGAAAACCAUCCUUUCCAGUAGUUACUUGUGUCCUUCAUUCUGCAGUGCUUUGGUAUAGUAAUUGUUUGCAUAAGACAUAUAAUCUCUUAUGCAGCCUAAACUUUUUUUGACCCUUCGAGAGUUACUAGGAACAGAAACCUCCUCCUCUUCUUCUUUUUUCCUGCUGAUUGGAAUAUCUUGCAUGCAGAAUUAUGUGUAUGAUACUGCAUGACUAUAACUGUAAACUUUAGAACAAAAUUUGGCAUUAACUUCUUAAUAAAAAGACCUUUUAAAGUUAAAGGGGUUUAUGUUGCAAACUUUUUAAAUUCAAGUCAUAUGUGAAUUGAGUUUAUUGGGUCAUAUCAAGGCUAUGUUAUGGACUACUUGUAAAGUUCAUGGAAGUUUAAACUAGGUUAAAUUAUAUUACAAGAGAGCUCACAAGACAAUUUGGUUAUGAAGAUUCGACAAAUACAGUAGUAAGAGUACAAGAAAAAUCUAGUGCGACAACUCAUUGGGACACUUUAGAUUGCAGUUGUGAAUAUUCUGGAAAAGAUCAUUUCUGCAGAAAGAGAUAAAACUAUAUCUGAUUACUGUGACACAAUGGUGUCUACUGAGUAGCUUCAUGUUCAG